CAAUAGCGUAUAUUAAAGUUGUUGCGGUAAAAAAGCUCGUAGUUGGAUUUCUGUUGAGAGCGACCGGUCCAUACCAUGUAUGCGUAUCUGGCUUGCUCUCGGCAUCCUCUCGAUAGACGUUACUGCGCUUGAUUGCGUGGUGCGGAUCUCGGGACUUUUACUUUGAGGAAAUUAGAGUGUUCACCGCAGGCUUUCGCCAGAAUACAUUAGCAUGGAAUAAUACUAUAGGAUCUUGGUUCUAUUUUGUUGGUUUCUAGAAUUGAGAUAAUGAUUAAUAGGGACAAUUGGGGGCAUUCGUAUCAACACGUCAGAGGUGGAAUUCUUGGAUUGUGUUGCGACGAACUACUGCGAAAGCAUUUGCCAAGGAUGUUUUCAUUGA
This 379-nucleotide ribosomal RNA is filed under the name uncultured eukaryote. RNAcentral describes it as "partial 18S ribosomal RNA". It matches the Rfam family "Eukaryotic small subunit ribosomal RNA", at positions 592 to 976 of the family's 1831-position model. The record is from RNAcentral.